AUUGGACGCUGGCGGCAUGCCUUACACAUGCAAGUCGAACGGCAGCACGGAGCUUGCUCUGGUGGCGAGUGGCGAACGGGUGAGUAAUAUAUCGGAACGUACCCAAGAGUGGGGGAUAACGUAGCGAAAGUUACGCUAAUACCGCAUACGAUCUAAGGAUGAAAGCAGGGGAUCGCAAGACCUUGUGCUCCUGGAGCGGCCGAUAUCUGAUUAGCUAGUUGGUGAGGUAAAGGCUCACCAAGGCAUCGAUCAGUAGCUGGUCUGAGAGGACGACCAGCCACACUGGAACUGAGACACGGUCCAGACUCCUACGGGAGGCAGCAGUGGGGAAUUUUGGACAAUGGGGGCAACCCUGAUCCAGCAAUGCCGCGUGAGUGAAGAAGGCCUUCGGGUUGUAAAGCUCUUUUGUCAGGGAAGAAACGAUCGUGGCUAAUAUCCAUGGCUAAUGACGGUACCUGAAGAAUAAGCACCGGCUAACUACGUGCCAGCCGCCGCAGUAA
This 500-nucleotide ribosomal RNA is filed under the name uncultured bacterium. RNAcentral's name for it is "partial 16S ribosomal RNA". It matches the Rfam family "Bacterial small subunit ribosomal RNA", at positions 30 to 523 of the family's 1533-position model. The record is from RNAcentral.